Molecule: ribosomal RNA, 207 nt
Filed under: Triticum aestivum (bread wheat)
Lineage: Eukaryota; Viridiplantae; Streptophyta; Magnoliopsida; Poales; Poaceae
Description: partial small subunit ribosomal RNA
Source: RNAcentral
AUGACAAUCAACAAAGCUCAAGGUCAAACUAUUCCAAAUGUUGACAUCUAUCUUCCAGAGCCGGUGUUCUCUCAUGGUCAACUCUAUGUUGCUUUAUCAAGAGGGAUGUCAAGACAAACAACAAGAAUACUUGCAAAGCCAAAUAAGGAAAUUGAUCCAUCAGGAAAAAGCACCAACAAUAUUGUCUACAAAGAUGUCUUGAUGUAA